AAGCGAGGGAUAGGGUGAGGAGCUGCUACCAUAAGGAUUUCGUCAUCGAUGAAGAUAGCCAGUGGAUGCUUCAGGGGUGGAAGGGGCGGAUCAUUUAUGCACUUUCCACGUGGAAACCAGACCAUGAUAUCUUUUGAGUAUCAGAAAGCUUGCUUCUAGUUGUGUACUUAAAAUGGGAAUGCUCUUCCUGCUUCUCUGGUCCUAUGGCAGCUCGGAACAAAAUCAAAGGUAUGGGACUAAUGAGUUGCAAGAGCAAUUGGUCUUAAGCACAAACACUGCCUCAAUUUCCAACCAUGCAGAAGUCGAAUUCUCGUGAGAGUCCCAAAGCCAUGAGGUCAGUGUUAUGAAUGACUAUACUGAUGAUAGCAUCAUUUGUGAAUGCUAUUGGAAGAUUGGAGCCUGUAACAUUAUGUGUAGCAGAGCUUGCAGCUGAAUCUCCACAAGGCAUCCUUUGUACUCCUGACACUGUUGCUAAAUUUCAGGUAUAAUUAUCAAUUUUCUGUUGUGUUUAUCUCUACUCUCCAUCUAGUCUUGCACACAACCUAAAUUUUGUUAUUUGCCAUUAUCACAAUUGUUUAUUGUAUCUUGUCCUCACUGUUGCUUUCUUUUUCUUUGAGACUAUAUCCUGCACAGUCUCUUACUCAUUUUCAUUAUACACCUUCAUGUCUUUAUGUAUUCACAUGAUAGCAAUGCUUUCUACCUUAAUACAGGUUGGAUAUACGCCUGAUUAUCAUUUAUUUCUGCAAACAAUUCUGAGAUCAGAUCCCCAGGAUUGAUGGUAACUCAUGGAAAUGAUGCUUCUUUGGCUGUGAUGCUCCAAUCCGAGAGAAAAUAGUCACGUGGAAGGGGACCAUACUGAAACAGUUCAUGUGGAAGGCUAUGUGGUAGUUUGUUUAUUUUGAAAACUUUAACAUUAAUUGUUUUGUUGAUUGUUGUCUUGAUGGAUGUUAAAUGGGUGAAACAUGCACAAGUUUAAUCAUUGGUUGAUUAUAAUAUUGUUAGCUUUUGUUGAUGAAAACUAGAUUUAGCCUUGAUUAUUGAUAAAUGAU
This is a long non-coding RNA of Magnolia sinica, 1049 nucleotides long. RefSeq lists it as uncharacterized. The record is from RefSeq and is a predicted model, not a curated record. NCBI's taxonomy places the organism in Eukaryota, Viridiplantae, Streptophyta, Magnoliopsida, Magnoliales, Magnoliaceae. The transcript has 3 exons.